GAACACGGAAGAUAAGCCCACCAGCGUUCCGGGGAGUACUGGAGUGCGCGAGCCUCUGGGAAAUCCGGUUCGCCGCCACCA
Molecule: ribosomal RNA, 81 nt
Filed under: Haloarcula argentinensis
Lineage: Archaea; Methanobacteriati; Methanobacteriota; Halobacteria; Halobacteriales; Haloarculaceae
Also listed under: 1 other name
Source: RNAcentral